UGGGGAAUCUUGGACAAUGGGGGCAACCCUGAUCCAGCCAUGCCGCGUGAGUGAUGAAGGCCUUAGGGUCGUAAAGCUCUUUCGCCUGUGAAGAUAAUGACGGUAGCAGGUAAAGAAACCCCGGCUAACUCCGUGCCAGCAGCCGCGGUAAUACGGAGGGGGUUAGCGUUGUUCGGAAUUACUGGGCGUAAAGCGCACGUAGGCGGACCAGAAAGUUGGGGGUGAAAUCCCGGGGGCUCAACCCCGGAACUGCCUCCAAAACUAUUGGUCUAGAGUUCGAGAGAGGUGAGUGGGAAUUCCAAGUGUAGAGGUGAAAUUCGUAGAUAUUUGGAGGAACACCAGUGGCGAAGGCGGCUCACUGGCUCGAUACUGACGCUGAGGUGCGAAAGUGUGGGGAGCAAACAGGAUUAGAUACCCUGGUAGUCCACACCGUAAAACGAUGAAUGCCAGUCGUCGGGUAGCAUGCUAUUCGGUGACACACCUAACGGAUUAAGCAUUCCGGCCUGGGGAGUACGGUCGCAAGAUUAAAA
Molecule: ribosomal RNA, 530 nt
Filed under: uncultured bacterium
Lineage: Bacteria
Description: bacterial SSU rRNA
Rfam family: Bacterial small subunit ribosomal RNA
Source: RNAcentral